GGCUUUUUCAGCUCUAAAUUUACAGCCCCCUGCACGGACAGCAAAAGACCUGAACUGCGAUUCUGCGAAUGACAUUUAAGCAGGCCGAUUAUUUUCACUAGUUGAUAUAUUUGCGGGGAGGUUAGCAAUAUCUACUUCGGUUUAUAACGCUGGAUUUGAACUCCAAUAACAUCAUAUUCCGUCCACGAUAUGUGAAUGUAGCCUAGUGGAGCUAUAAGAGUCUGUGAGGUUUCAAUGCAGACCGUCCGGGGGACAUAACAAGUCCCUAGAAUGUCCAAGUGGAACUUUUAGGGCGAAGAGGAGGGCCGGGGCGGCAGCAUAGGCUACAACAACGCUGUAGUCUACAAAAGUGAAAGUAAAGUCAAAAUGCGUGCUUGUACGACGUCUAGACCAGACACAAAAAGGGGAAAUCCUGAUGGUUACCAUGGCAACAUGACAAGUGGCUUGGCAUGGAUUAUCAGAGCCUGUCUCUUUGUGUGCCUGUGGAGAGCUUGUCUGUGUGAAGAGCCUAUCUGCAUGUAUAAUGAAUUUUUGACAGAAAUGGUAGAAAGUCUGCCAAGGGACUAUUUGUUCAGAGUGAACAAAAGUGAGGUAUGGGUUCAAUUCCAUUUCUGUACAUUCUAUCUGUAAA
Salvelinus sp. IW2-2015 is the source of this 631-nucleotide non-coding RNA. The record is from RefSeq and is a predicted model, not a curated record. NCBI's taxonomy places the organism in Eukaryota, Metazoa, Chordata, Actinopteri, Salmoniformes, Salmonidae.